Long non-coding RNA from Labeo rohita (rohu), 1027 nucleotides. RefSeq lists it as uncharacterized. NCBI's taxonomy places the organism in Eukaryota, Metazoa, Chordata, Actinopteri, Cypriniformes, Cyprinidae. The transcript is spliced from 6 exons. The record is from RefSeq and is a predicted model, not a curated record.
AUUCACAAAGUGCUGUGUGGUUAAGGUGAUUACAAAGCCACUGAAUUUUAGUCAUAAUUCUGCCCGUUUUCCUUAAAUUGCAAUACGAUUUUAUUAUUUUAAGUUUAUGCAUAUACAUAUAAAAGAAAUAUCUCCAGUCACCAUUUGAAGUCUGAGUUGGGUGUAGAUUGCCAAAACUGUGCUGCCAAGAUGUUGUAACAAAUCUCGCGAUAGGAUAGAUCAUCUCGCGAUAGGAUAGAUUAUCUCGCGAUGGGAUAGAUUAGCUCGCAAUACAAUACAUUAUCUCGCGAGAAAACUUUAACACGUUGUUGUCGUUCCAUAACCAGGAGGAGAGCGCGUCGUUGUGUUGCAAAGCUUUACGAAUUAUUAAAAAUCUACUGGUGGUGGAUGCACAACAUGACACCAUCAAUGUCAACAACACUCGUGGACCCGUGGACACAUGUUGAGGUGGUCACAUAACGAACAGCCAUCUGUCAGGCCAUGUGCCACAACCGAACAAGUAUUGUCUCCAGUCCCAAAUGCUUCAUUGCCAUCCCAGUCCCAGAGGACCCCCCAGUCCAACCCUGGUCCUCGAGAGCCACUGCACUGCUUGUUUUCCAGCUGUCCCUGCCCUUCCAGCUUCUGAUUGACAACACACCUGAUCCAUUACUAAUCAGCAGUGAGUAAGGCAUGGCUAGUUGGUAAACAAGCAGAUGCUCUGAAGAGGUGGAGUCCAACUGCCACAGACUCCAAAAUUGAUGCAUCAAUGGUGGAACACCUAAAGCACGCUCCAGGAAGAGCUGGGGGCGGUGGUUAUAAGAAAUAAGCUGUUUUGAGAGACAUUUACAUGCGUGUUUACAUUAAUCCAGUAUUUUUUUGUACUUGUUUGAUUUAUAGCUGUUUAAAAUUAAUGCAAAACUGUUUCAAUUAAUAAAAAUUGAGUACUGCCACAAUAAUAAUGCUUCUGGAAGAGCAGGUGCUUGUGGAGCAACAAAAUGAUAGUAAACAUUUUGGAAUAAUGAUGAAUAAAUAAAAGAUUAUAAAUAUA